UCCUGACCUCGGAUCAGACGUGAAUACCCGCUGAACUUAAGCAUAUCACUAAGCGGAGGAAAAGAAACUAACAAGGAUUCCCUUAGUAACGGCGAGUGAACAGGGAAAAGCCCAGCACCGAAGCCUGUGACCAUUUGGUUACUAGGCAAUGUGGUGUUCAGGUCGUUCCGCGAAGGUGCUGCUCCAUUCCAAGUCCAGCAAUGAGUACGGUAAUGCUGACAUGGCCCAAAGAGGGUGAAAGGCCCGUUGGGGUGGAGGUGCAGAAAUGUCAGUGCCUUCCUGGGUAGACCUUGGAGUCGGGUUGUUUGUGAAUGCAGCCCAAAGUGGGUGGUAAACUCCAUCCAAGGCUAAAUACUAACACGAGUCCGAUAGCGAACAAGUACCGUGAGGGAAAGUUGAAAAGUACUUUGAAGAGAGAGUAAACAGUGCGUGAAACCGCUCAGAGGUAAACGGGUGGAGUUGAACUGUGAGCUCUGUGGAUUUAGCUGGUGAGCAUGGUUUGAGCUUGGUCAAAUUGGUUGAUGCUCGGGGUCUGCUUAGCCGCAGGUUUCCACCUUUUGGUGGGGACGCGCGAGGCACUUAUCAAGUGUUGCGCGCCUCGGGUUAUUCGGGCCAGCUUGCCAGUGCACUUUCGCAGAGUGGUCACCACGACCGGCAUUGCUGUCUGGCUGUUGUGGUUAAACCGGUCUUGCAUUGUCCUCGUGGCUUUGCUUGGUCGGGAUGGCAGGUAGCCCGUUGGCCGGCUUGUAGCUUGCUGCAGGCGUCUGGUCCUCGGGUGUAAUCAGCUGACCGCAUCAGUUCUGUGCAGUAUGUCGGAGACGGCGGCUUGUGGUGUGUGCGUGCGUUCCAGUUAGCUGGCGUGUCCGGGUUUGGUUGUUAUGUUGCCUGUGUUUGCAGGCCUGAUAAUGGCUCGGAUUCGUUCGGUUGGCGGUUGCGUGCGUGGCACUGUCCAGGGCCAAUAGUCUGUGGUGUUGCGGUAGACUUUCCACCUGACCCGUCUUGAAACACGGACCAAGGAGAGUAACAUGUGCGCGAGUCAUUGGGCGUAACGAAACCCAAAGGCGAAGUGAAAGUGAAGGUCUGGCUUGUCCGGACUAAGGUGAGAUCCUGUCGUUUCUCACGCGCGGUGUCACCAAGCAUCGAGCGGCAGGCGCAUCACCGGCCCGUCCCAUGGUGUGGUGGCAAUCUUCGGAUUGUUCGUCACCGGGGCGGAGCAUGAGCGUACAUGUUGAGACCCGAAAGAUGGUGAACUAUGCUUGCGCAGGUUGAAGCCAGAGGAAACUCUGGUGGAGGACCGCAGCGAUUCUGACGUGCAAAUCGAUCGUCAGACGUGAGUAUAGGGGCGAAAGACUAAUCGAACCAUCUAGUAGCUGGUUCCCUCCGAAGUUUCCCUCAGGAUAGC
This 1402-nucleotide ribosomal RNA is filed under the name Metagonimus suifunensis. RNAcentral's name for it is "eukaryotic LSU rRNA". It matches the Rfam family "Eukaryotic large subunit ribosomal RNA", at positions 1 to 982 of the family's 3401-position model. The record is from RNAcentral. Lineage: Eukaryota; Metazoa; Platyhelminthes; Trematoda; Opisthorchiida; Heterophyidae.